Molecule: ribosomal RNA, 292 nt
Filed under: uncultured Acidovorax sp.
Lineage: Bacteria; Pseudomonadati; Pseudomonadota; Betaproteobacteria; Burkholderiales; Comamonadaceae
Description: partial 16S ribosomal RNA
Rfam family: Bacterial small subunit ribosomal RNA
Source: RNAcentral
GUGUCAGCCGCCGCGGUAAUACGUAGGGUGCAAGCGUUAAUCGGAAUUACUGGGCGUAAAGCGUGCGCAGGCGGUUAUAUAAUACAGAUGUGAAAUCCCCGGGCUCAACUUGGGAACUGCAUUUGUGACUGUAUAGCUAGAGUACGGUAGAGGGGGAUGGAAUUCCGCGUGUAGCAGUGAAAUGCGUAGAUAUGCGGAGGAACACCGAUGGCGAAGGCAAUCCCCUGGACCUGUACUGACGCUCAUGCACGAAAGCGUGGGGAGCAAACAGGAUUAGAAACCCCAGUAGUCC